This 489-nucleotide ribosomal RNA is filed under the name uncultured bacterium. RNAcentral's name for it is "bacterial SSU rRNA". It matches the Rfam family "Bacterial small subunit ribosomal RNA", at positions 1 to 494 of the family's 1533-position model. The record is from RNAcentral.
UUAGAGUUUUGAAUUCUGGCUCAGGACGAACGCUGGCGGCGUGCCUAAUACAUGCAAGUCAACUUGAAUUAUGGUAGCAAUACUGUGAGGAGAGUGGCGCACGGGUGAGUAACGCGUAGGUAGUCUGCCUUUAGGACUGACAUAACCCCGAGAAAUCGGGGAUAAUUUCAGAUAAUGCAGCGGUUUGGCAUCAAACUGCUGUUAAACCUUCGGGGCCUAGAGAUGAGCCUGCGUCCCAUUAGAUAGUUGGCGGAGUAAUAGCCCACCAAGUCUUCGAUGGGUAGCUGGUCUGAGAGGAUGAUCAGCCACACUGGAACUGGGAUACGGUCCAGACUCCUACGGGAGGCAGCAGUAAGGAAUAUUGCUCAAUGGGAGAAAUCCUGAAGCAGCAACGCCGUGUGAAGGAUGAAGGGCUUUUGCUUGUAAACUUCUGUAGAAGGGGAAAAAUCCUCCACUCUGUGGAAAUGAUGGUACCCUAGAGUAAGCCCC